RNAcentral lists this ribosomal RNA (524 nucleotides) under uncultured bacterium. RNAcentral's name for it is "partial 16S ribosomal RNA". It matches the Rfam family "Bacterial small subunit ribosomal RNA", at positions 28 to 523 of the family's 1533-position model. The record is from RNAcentral.
GACGAACGCUGGCGGCGUGCCUAAUACAUGCAAGUCGAGCGCAGGAAAUCAUCCGAACCCUUCGGGGGGACGUUGGUGGAAUGAGCGGCGGACGGGUGAGUAACACGUAAAGAACCUGCCCUCAGGUCUGGGAUAACCACGAGAAAUCGGGGCUAAUACCGGAUGGGUCAUCGGACCGCAUGGUCCGAGGAUGAAAGGCGCUUCGGCGUCGCCUGGGGAUGGCUUUGCGGUGCAUUAGCUAGUUGGUGGGGUAAUGGCCCACCAAGGCGACGAUGCAUAGCCGAGCUGAGAGGGUGAUCGGCCACACUGGGACUGAGACACGGCCCAGACUCCUACGGGAGUCAGCAGUAGGGAAUCUUCCACAAUGGACGAAAGUCUGAUGGAGCAACGCCGCGUGAACGAUGAAGGCCUUCGGGUCGUAAAGUUCUGUUGUAAGGGAAGAACAAGUGCCGCAGGCAAUGGCGGCACCUUGACGGUACCUUGCGAGAAAGCCACGGCUAACUACGUGCCAGCCGCCGCCGUAA